Molecule: unclassified non-coding RNA, 330 nt
Filed under: soil metagenome
Description: partial contains 5.8S ribosomal RNA, internal transcribed spacer 2, and large subunit ribosomal RNA
Rfam family: 5.8S ribosomal RNA (bases 1-120)
Source: RNAcentral
GAUGAAGAACGCAGCGAAAUGCGAUACGUAAUGUGAAUUGCAGAUUUCAGUGAAUCAUCGAAUCUUUGAACGCACAUUGCGCCCGCCAGUAUUCUGGCGGGCAUGCCUGUUCGAGCGUCAUUUCAACCAUCAAGCGCCUCGCUUGUGUUGGGGCCCUGCGGCUGCCGCAGGCCCCUAAAUCCAGUGGCGGGCUCGUCGUCGUACCGAGUGCAGUAAACAUCCUCGCUCAGGGAACCCGACGGGUGCCGGCCGUGAAACCCCCCCUCCUCAAGGUUGACCUCGGAUCAGGUAGGAAUACCCGCUGAACUUAAGCAUAUCAUAAGCGGAGGA